UGAGGAAUAUUGGUCAAUGGGCGCAAGCCUGAACCAGCCAUCCCGCGUGCAGGAAGACGGCCCUAUGGGUUGUAAACUGCUUUUCCAGGGGGAGAAUUUUUCUGUCGUGACAGGAAUUGACGGUACCCUGGGAAUAAGCAUCGGCUAACUCCGUGCCAGCAGCCGCGGUAAUACGGAGGAUGCGAGCGUUAUCCGGAUUUAUUGGGUUUAAAGGGUGCGUAGGUGGAUUGAUAAGUCAGUGGUGAAAAACUGCAGCUUAACUGUAGAAUUGCCGUUGAUACUGUCAGGCUUGAGUGUGGUCAAGGUAAGCGGAAUGUGUAAUGUAGCGGUGAAAUGCGUAGAUAUUACACAGAACACCGAUUGCGAAGGCAGCUUACUGGGCCAUUACUGACGCUGAUGCACGAAAGCGUGGGGAUCGAACAG
This 423-nucleotide ribosomal RNA is filed under the name uncultured bacterium. Its description in RNAcentral is "bacterial SSU rRNA". It matches the Rfam family "Bacterial small subunit ribosomal RNA", at positions 355 to 775 of the family's 1533-position model. The record is from RNAcentral.